This 436-nucleotide long non-coding RNA is filed under the name Vigna radiata. RNAcentral's name for it is "long non-coding RNA (VRAD_LNC013634)". Lineage: Eukaryota; Viridiplantae; Streptophyta; Magnoliopsida; Fabales; Fabaceae. The record is from RNAcentral.
GGGGUACGGUCUGGCCGGUCGGUCGGGGUUGGGGAAGAGGACGUAGGUGUGGAUCGGUCAGUUGAUAUAAGCAUAGAGAAGCAUUGAUGAGUAUUGAUUGGAAAGUAACGGAAGAUGCAACGGUUUAAGAUAAUUAAUGGUCAGUUAUGGAUAUAAAGCCUAUAAAUAGGGGAUCACGGGUCAGGUAAAACUAUCUUGUUCUGAUUUUAAUCACUCAUCUCACCAAUUCCUUGUCUAACUUGAGCGUCAGAGUGUUCUCUUUGCAGGACCCCCGGUCAGCAGUCGAGGUCACGAACCGAUAAGACAGGUUGGACGAUCGGGAGCAAGAGUGAGGGUUAGGCCGGACGAUUUCGUGUCCCAAAUACUGAAACACCAAGGAUGAGAUAUCUCCAGCUCUAUUUUCUUAGUAAUAAUUUUGAUAUACUUUAAAAAGUAU